Long non-coding RNA from Athalia rosae (coleseed sawfly), 538 nucleotides. RefSeq lists it as uncharacterized. NCBI's taxonomy places the organism in Eukaryota, Metazoa, Arthropoda, Insecta, Hymenoptera, Athaliidae. The transcript is spliced from 2 exons. The record is from RefSeq and is a predicted model, not a curated record.
CAAAAAAGAAAAUAUAGUUUAAAGGACACACAUAUGAAUCAUUGUGUAUGUGUGAAGAAUAGAUAGAGACGACACUUGAAAUACAAUAAGCCAUGAACUUGGUAUCUUUUUUUUUCUAUCACCUUUUUUAAUGUCGUCUAGACGCGAAAUGGGAGUUGCGAAAAAUGUGGUAUAGCACGACUCGCGGAAUGCAGCAGGCGAGGUUUCGCAUUUCUUAAAUGUUUGAUAAUUCGAAUUGCAAGUUUCAAAAAUCUGUAAAGUAUUGGUUAGGCGAAACUAAUUGAAUACGUGCUUACAUAUUGGCGAGCAGCGCCGGAGCGAUCGUUGAAGCAAUCAGGUUUUCAGAGGCCUCCUUGUCCUUGGCGGAGGGUUACCCGUAUGUAUUUCAGCGGUUGCAGAUUUUGCCCCGCUUUUCGCUACACCACCCAGGACUAUAUCGAAAUGAACGCGACUUCGAGAAGAAUCUUUUUCUUUCGUUUGUGAUCUUUAUUUUCUAUUUUUUCCUAAGUUUAAAUAAACGAGGUGAGAUUAGUUUUUA